Molecule: ribosomal RNA, 253 nt
Filed under: uncultured bacterium
Lineage: Bacteria
Description: partial 16S ribosomal RNA
Rfam family: Bacterial small subunit ribosomal RNA
Source: RNAcentral
UACGUAGGGGGCAAGCGUUGUCCGGAAUCAUUGGGCGUAAAGCGCGCGUAGGCGGCCUUGUAAGUCCGUUGUGAAAGUCAAAGGCUCAACCUUUGAAAGCCGAUGGAUACUGCAGGGCUAGAGUCCGGAAGAGGCGAGUGGAAUUCCUGGUGUAGUGGUGGAAUGCGCAGAUAUCAGGAGGAACACCAAUAGCGAAGGCAGCUCGCUGGGACGGUACUGACGCUAAGGCGCGAAAGCGUGGGGAGCAAACAGG